GGGCAUAAUGUAAUGAUUUUUCAACACCAAUGCAAUGCAUUUGAGCUAGGUGGAAUACCCUACAAUUUGUAAUUCCACGACUAUGUGGAAUCCACCUUUUAGCUCGACGGCCGAGCCUCCAAUCCAAGUAGCCGCCAGGAUUUGGAGCCAGUGAUACCCCCCAUGUGAGCACACCGCAGGAAUCCCCCUAUGUGAGAUGCCCCAAAUAAUUUUAUUAAUCCUCCCAUGUAGGAUACAAUAUCAUAUAACCCGCAUCGGCAAUUAUGGUUUCCAGCGAUGAGCCCUUUCACUCAAACGCCUUCUUCGGAUAUCCACCUUUUUCAUGAAAAUUAAUGGACUCAAA
This 343-nucleotide long non-coding RNA is filed under the name Capsicum annuum. RNAcentral describes it as "long non-coding RNA (CANN_LNC022246)". Lineage: Eukaryota; Viridiplantae; Streptophyta; Magnoliopsida; Solanales; Solanaceae. The record is from RNAcentral.